UGGGGAAUAUUGGACAAUGGGCGAAAGCCUGAUCCAGCCAUGCCGCGUGUGUGAAGAAGGCCCUCGGGUCGUAAAGCACUUUAAGUUGGGAGGAAGGGCUUACAGCGAAUACCUGUGAGUUUUGACGUUACCGACAGAAUAAGCACCGGCUAACUUCGUGCCAGCAGCCGCGGUAAUACGAAGGGUGCAAGCGUUAAUCGGAAUUACUGGGCGUAAAGCGCGCGUAGGUGGCUUGAUAAGUUGGAUGUGAAAUCCCCGGGCUCAACCUGGGAACUGCAUCCAAAACUGUCUGGCUAGAGUGUGGUAGAGGGUAGUGGAAUUUCCAGUGUAGCGGUGAAAUGCGUAGAUAUUGGAAGGAACACCAGUGGCGAAGGCGACUACCUGGACUAACACUGACACUGAGGUGCGAAAGCGUGGGGAGCAAACAGG
RNAcentral lists this ribosomal RNA (429 nucleotides) under uncultured bacterium. RNAcentral describes it as "bacterial SSU rRNA". It matches the Rfam family "Bacterial small subunit ribosomal RNA", at positions 355 to 776 of the family's 1533-position model. The record is from RNAcentral.